GGCCCAUAGCUCAGCAGUACAGCAUCCGCUUUCCAUGCAUAAGGUCCCAGGUUCAAUCCCCGUCAUCUCCA
Podarcis lilfordi (Lilford's wall lizard) is the source of this 71-nucleotide non-coding RNA. NCBI's taxonomy places the organism in Eukaryota, Metazoa, Chordata, Lepidosauria, Squamata, Lacertidae. The record is from the annotation of a GenBank genome assembly.